This 469-nucleotide ribosomal RNA is filed under the name uncultured bacterium. RNAcentral describes it as "partial 16S ribosomal RNA". It matches the Rfam family "Bacterial small subunit ribosomal RNA", at positions 28 to 508 of the family's 1533-position model. The record is from RNAcentral.
GACGAACGCUGGCGGCGUGCUUAACACAUGCAAGUCGAACGGAAAGGCCCUGCUUUUGUGGGGUGCUCGAGUGGCGAACGGGUGAGUAACACGUGAGUAACCUGCCCUUGACUUUGGGAUAACUUCAGGAAACUGGGGCUAAUACCGGAUAGGAGCUCCUGCUGCAUGGUGGGGGUUGGAAAGUUUCGGCGGUUGGGGAUGGACUCGCGGCUUAUCAGCUUGUUGGUGGGGUAGUGGCUUACCAAGGCUUUGACGGGUAGCCGGCCUGAGAGGGUGACCGGCCACAUUGGGACGGAGAUACGGCCCAGACUCCGACGGGAGGAAGCAGUGGGGAAUAUUGCACAAUGGGCGGAAGCCUGAUGCAGCAACGCCGCGGGCGGGAUGACGGCCUUAGGGUUGUAAACCGCUUUCGCCUGUGACGAAGCGUGAGUGACGGUAAUGGGUAAAGAAGCACCGGCUAACUACGUGC